Molecule: ribosomal RNA, 253 nt
Filed under: uncultured bacterium
Lineage: Bacteria
Description: partial 16S ribosomal RNA
Rfam family: Bacterial small subunit ribosomal RNA
Source: RNAcentral
UACGUAGGGGGCAAGCGUUGUCCGGAUUUAUUGGGCGUAAAGAGCGUGUAGGCGGCCAUACAGGUCAGCUGUGAAAACUCGAGGCUCAACCUCGAGACGUCGGUUGAAACCGUAUGGCUAGAGUCCGGAAGAGGAGAGUGGAAUUCCCGGUGCAGCGGUGAAAUGCGCAGAUAUCGGGAAGAACACCCGUGGCGAAGGCGGCUCUCUGGGACGGUACUGACGCUGAGACGCGAAAGCGUGGGGAGCGAACAGG